GCCAGAAUAAGACGCCUGGGUGGCUCAGUUGGUUAAGCAUCUGACUGUUGAUUUUGACUCUGGUCAUGGUCCCAGGGUCAUGAGAUGGAGCCCUGUGUGGGGCCUGGUUGGGAUUCUCUCUCUCUCUCUCCCUCUGCCCCUCGUGGGAUUCUCUCUCUCUCUCUCUCUCUCUCUCUCUCUCUCUCUCUCUCUCUCUCUCUCUCUCCCUCUGCCCCUCGUGGGAUUCUCUCUCUCUCUCUCUCUCUCUCUCUCUCUCUCUCUCUCUCUCUCUCUCUCUCUCUCUCUCUCUCUCUCUCUCUCUCUCUCUCUCUCUCUCUCUCUCUCUCUCUCUCUCUCUCUCUCUCUCUCUCCCUCUGCCCCUCGUGGGAUUCUCUCUCUCUCUCUCUCUCUCUCUCUCUCUCUCUCUCUCUCUCUCUCUCUCUCUCUCUCUCUCUCUCUCUCUCUCUCUCUCUCUCUCUCUCUCUCUCUCUCUCUCUCUCUCUCUCUCUCUCUCUCUCUCUCUCUCUCUCUCUCUCUCUCUCUCUCUCUCUCUCUCUCUCUCUCUCUCUCUCUCUCUCUCCCUCUGCCCCUCGUGGGAUUCUCUCUCUCUCUCUCUCUCUCUCUCUCUCUCUCUCUCUCUCUCUCUCUCUCUCUCUCUCUCUCUCUCUCUCUCUCUCUCUCUCUCUCUCUCUCUCUCUCUCUCUCUCUCUCUCUCUCUCUCUCUCUCUCUCUCUCUCUCUCUCUCUCUCUCUCUCUCUCUCUCUCUCUCUCUCUCUCUCUCUCUCUCUCUCUCUCUCUCUCUCUCUCUCUCUCUCUCUCUCUCUCUCUCUCUCUCUCUCUCUCUCUCUCUCUCUCUCUCUCUCUCUCUCUCUCUCUCUCUCUCUCUCUCUCUCUCUCUCUCCCUCCCCCUCACUCACUUGCACCCUCUCUUUGUCUCUGAAAGAAAGAGAGGAAGGAAGGAAGGAAGGAAGGAAGAAGGAAGGAAGGAAGGAAGGAAGGAAGGAAGGAAGGAAGGAAAAAGCCCAGAAUAGGCAAAUCCAGAGUCAGAAAGAUUAGUGACUGCCAGGGACUGGGAUCAAGGGAGGCUGAGGGGGUGGAGGGCAACUGUUAGCUGGCAUGGGGCUUCUUUUUAGUGUCAAAUGCAAUUUACUGACUGCUAGUGUGCAUGGACUUCAUUGAUGAAAAUGUUCUAAAAUAGAUUGUGAUGUAACACCCGGGUAGUUCAGUCGGUUAAGUGUCUGACUUCAGCUCAGGUUGUGAUCUCCCAAUUCGUGAGUUCGAGCUCCCAUACCGGGCUCUCUGGUGUCAGGGCAGAGCCUGCUUCAGAUCCUCUGUACCCCCUCCCUUUCCG
RNAcentral lists this long non-coding RNA (1330 nucleotides) under Felis catus (domestic cat). RNAcentral's name for it is "lncRNA (ENSFCAG00000047051.1)". The record is from RNAcentral. Lineage: Eukaryota; Metazoa; Chordata; Mammalia; Carnivora; Felidae.